AACGAACGCUGGCGGCAUGCCUAACACAUGCAAGUCGAACGAUGCCUUCGGGCAUAGUGGCGCACGGGUGCGUAACGCGUGGGAAUCUGCCUUUCGGUUCGGAAUAACUCAGGGAAACUUGAGCUAAUACCGGAUAACGUCGCAAGACCAAAGAUUUAUCACCGAAAGAUGGGCCCGCGUAGGAUUAGCUAGUUGGUGAGGUAAAGGCUCACCAAGGCGACGAUCCUUAGCUGGUCUGAGAGGAUGAUCAGCCACACUGGGACUGAGACACGGCCCAGACUCCUACGGGAGGCAGCAGUGGGGAAUAUUGGACAAUGGGCGAAAGCCUGAUCCAGCAAUGCCGCGUGAGUGAUGAAGGCCUUAGGGUUGUAAAGCUCUUUUACCCGGGAAGAUAAUGACGGUACCGGGAGAAUAAGCCCCGGCUAACUCCGUG
Molecule: ribosomal RNA, 433 nt
Filed under: uncultured bacterium
Lineage: Bacteria
Description: partial 16S ribosomal RNA
Rfam family: Bacterial small subunit ribosomal RNA
Source: RNAcentral